Molecule: ribosomal RNA, 505 nt
Filed under: uncultured bacterium
Lineage: Bacteria
Description: bacterial SSU rRNA
Rfam family: Bacterial small subunit ribosomal RNA
Source: RNAcentral
UAGUCCACGCCGUAAACGAUGUCAACUUGGAGGUUGUGGCCUUGAGCCGUGGCUUUCGGAGCUAACGCGUUAAGUAGACCGCCUGGGGAGUACGGUCGCAAGAUUAAAACUCAAAUGAAUUGACGGGGGCCCGCACAAGCGGUGGAGCAUGUGGUUUAAUUCGAUGAUACGCGAGGAACCUUACCUGGGCUCGAACGCUAGGGGAUUUAUUGUGAAAGCGAUAUUCCCUUCGGGGCCGCUAGUGAGGUGCUGCAUGGUUGUCGUCAGCUCGUGCCGUGAGGUGUUGGGUUAAGUCCCGCAACGAGCGCAACCCUUAUCCUUAGUUGCCAGCACAUAAUGGUGGGGACUCUAAGGAGACUGCCUGCGCAAGCAGAGAGGAAGGAGGGGAUGACGUCAAGUCAUCAUGGCCCUUACGCCCAGGGCUACACACGUGCUACAAUGGCGCAUACAGAGGGUCGCUACCUGGCAACAGGAUGCCAAUCUCAAAAAGUGCGUCUCAGUUCGG